RNAcentral lists this long non-coding RNA (361 nucleotides) under Rattus norvegicus (Norway rat). RNAcentral describes it as "long non-coding RNA NONRATT034126". Lineage: Eukaryota; Metazoa; Chordata; Mammalia; Rodentia; Muridae. The record is from RNAcentral.
GCCAGUCGCGCGCUCAGAGCUGCAGAGCUGUCGGACCUCUGGACGCCACCACCACUGCUGCUGCUCCGGGUCUCGGCUCCUCCCCCGCUAAAGAGCACUAGGGCAGGCGGGGACUGCGGCGGCGGAAGUGGUUGUGACGUCAGCGCGCGUCCGCCCCCUUGAUGUGGCGGGGGCGGCUGCUGCCCUCUGUGAAUUGGGGUGGGCUCAAAAGCGUCAUUUCGUUCGAAACGCUGUGAUUUUUCAGGGGAACAAAAAAAAAAAAGGCAUCGAGAACUGUAACCGCAUUAACAAAUGUUAAACAUUUGCCACCUUCCCUUCCGUUUUUUUUCCUAAUAAAAUGAAAUCCGAAGAUUCUGAUUAA